AUUGUCAUGGAGACGGGAAGCUGGCUGCAGCGGCGGCGGGGACCGUGGGGCCGAGGUGGCUGCCAGCCGGCCAAUGUCUAAGCGAGGCGGAGCGGCCCAGGCGGCCCGAGCCUGGGGGAGCGCGCAGCCGGCCAGUGGCGGCCUCGCCGGCGGCCUCUUCCCGGGCUCGCAGUAGGCCCGAGUCGUCGCCGGGAGCUCCUGGGAGCAGCGUCCCCGCCCUGCUCCCCUCGCUCCCGCCUCUUGCGGCCCCACGGCCCCUCAGCGCCCGCCCCCGGCUCCGCCCGCCGCAGCCGCAGCCCCUGGCGCUAACGGUCGGUAACGGCCCGCGCGCGCCGCCCGCCGGGGGCUCGCGCCAGCCACGAGGGAGCGUCCGCGGCCCGCGCGCCCGCGCGGCGGAGGAGAGGUGUUAAGUGUGAUGCUUCCAUAAUACAUUUGGAUGCUGUCAGCUAAGUUCACUUCUGAAC
RNAcentral lists this long non-coding RNA (464 nucleotides) under Homo sapiens (human). RNAcentral describes it as "non-protein coding lnc-IRX3-80:14". Lineage: Eukaryota; Metazoa; Chordata; Mammalia; Primates; Hominidae. The record is from RNAcentral.